This 630-nucleotide ribosomal RNA is filed under the name uncultured bacterium. RNAcentral's name for it is "bacterial SSU rRNA". It matches the Rfam family "Bacterial small subunit ribosomal RNA", at positions 57 to 714 of the family's 1533-position model. The record is from RNAcentral.
GCAGUCGAACGAGGUAGCAAUACCUAGUGGCGCACGGGUGAGUAACGCGUGGAUAAUCUGCCCUUCACUGGGGAAUAACUAAUCGAAAGGUUAGCUAAUACCGCAUGAGGCCACAGUUUCUGAGGAAGCAGUGGUUAAAGAUUUAUUGGUGAAGGAUGAGUCUGCGUGGGAUUAGCUAGUUGGUGAGGUAAUGGCUCACCAAGGCUACGAUCUCUAACAGGUCUGAGAGGAUGACCUGUCACACUGGAACUGAGACACGGUCCAGACUCCUACGGGAGGCAGCAGUAGGGAAUAUUGCGCAAUGGACGAAAGUCUGACGCAGCGACGCCGCGUGAGUGAUGAAGGCCUUAGGGUCGUAAAGCUCUGUUGCAGGGGAAGAAAAAAAUGACGGUACCCUGCGAGAAAGGAUCGGCUAACUUCGUGCCAGCAGCCGCGGUAAGACGAGGGAUCCUAGCGUUGUUCGGAAUCAUUGGGCGUAAAGCGCAUGUAGGCUGCCAUUCAAGUCAGUUGUGAAAGCCCCGGGCUCAACCCGGGAAGUGCUUCUGAUACUGUUUGGCUUGAGUACUAGAGAGGAUAGUAGAAUUCCAGGUGUAGUGGUGAAAUACGUAGAUAUCUGGAGGAAUACCGGUG